Molecule: ribosomal RNA, 323 nt
Filed under: uncultured Chloroflexota bacterium
Lineage: Bacteria; Bacillati; Chloroflexota
Description: bacterial SSU rRNA
Rfam family: Bacterial small subunit ribosomal RNA
Source: RNAcentral
GAUGAACGCUGGCGGCGUGCUUAAUACAUGCAAGUCGAACGAAGACAGUAGCAAUAUUGUCUGAGUGGCGAACGGGUGAGUAACGCGUUGGUGACCUGCCCCGAAGAGAGGGAUAACAGUCCGAAAGGAUUGCUAAUACCCCAUGUGGUCGUUUAGAUUAGAAGCUUUGCGACUAAACGGAUUUAUUCGCUUCGGGAGGGGCCUGCGUCCCAUCAGCUAGUUGGUAGGGUAAUAGCCUACCAAGGCGAUGACGGGUAGGGGACCUGAGAGGGUGGCCCCCCACAAUGGAACUGAAACACGGUCCAUACACCUACGGGUGGCAG